Bos indicus x Bos taurus (hybrid cattle) is the source of this 523-nucleotide long non-coding RNA. Lineage: Eukaryota; Metazoa; Chordata; Mammalia; Artiodactyla; Bovidae. The record is from Ensembl.
AAAUCCCUUAUCUCGACAGGUUCUCUUUCAUUUCCAGGUGGCCUGUUCCAGAGCUUGGAACCUGUGUUUGUUCUCCCCCAAGCUCCCAUCCCUGCGGGCUUCUUCCCUGGGAAGGUGGCCUGGGACCAGGCCAAGGAUCUAUGGAAAAUUGCAGCUAAGCUUGCAUAAGUAAACCUUGGAAGAGGGGAGGCUAAGGAAUGCCCAGAAUGGAAGGAUGCUGUGGCCUGCCCUGAGCUUUCCAGCCUGCCGAGCUAUGAGCCUUCAAGAAGGCUUUGGUGACAGUACGAAUGGGCAGCAAAAUGCCAAAUGCAAGUGGCCAGAGGAAGAGCAGCAACCUGGACAUUCAACUUCUGGAAAAAUGAAAAUUCACUAGAGUCUCCUCUCAUUUCAGAGAGCAGAAGCUGCCUGGUUUCUAAACUUGGAAGUUCUGAGUCUCAAAUGCCAGGUAUCAGGUAAGAGAUGGGUGUUUCUGUGGCAACUCAGAGUUUUGUGUAAGGGGAAUGGUUUUUAUGGAGCUGUGAAG